RNAcentral lists this ribosomal RNA (774 nucleotides) under uncultured bacterium. RNAcentral describes it as "bacterial SSU rRNA". It matches the Rfam family "Bacterial small subunit ribosomal RNA", at positions 8 to 796 of the family's 1533-position model. The record is from RNAcentral.
AGAGUUUGAUCAUGGCUCAGGAUGAACGCUGGCGGCGUGCCUAACACAUGCAAGUCGAGCGGAGAUGUUGUUGCUUGCAACAAUAUCUUAGCGGCGGACGGGUGAGUAACACGUGGGUAACCUGCCCUAAACAAAGGGAUAACAAUGAGAAAUCAUUGCUAAUACCGUAUAAGCUUACAAUAUCGCAUGAUAAAGUAAGAAAAGAUUUAUCGGUUUAGGAGGGGCCCGCGUCUGAUUAGCUAGUUGGAGAGGUAACAGCUCACCAAGGCGACGAUCAGUAGCCGACCUGAGAGGGUGAUCGGCCACAUUGGGACUGAGACACGGCCCAAACUCCUACGGGAGGCAGCAGUGGGGAAUAUUGCACAAUGGAGGGAACUCUGAUGCAGCAACGCCGCGUGAAGGAAGAAGGUUUUCGGAUCGUAAACUUCUAUCUACAGGGAAGAAAAAAAUGACGGUACCUGAGUAAGAAGCCCCGGCUAACUACGUGCCAGCAGCCGCGGUAAUACGUAGGGGGCAAGCGUUAUCCGGAAUUACUGGGUGUAAAGGGUGAGUAGGCGGUUAAAUAAGCCAUAUGUGAAAUCUUAGAGCUCAACUUUAAGACUGCAUAAGGAACUGUAUAACUAGAGUGCAGGAGAGGUAAGUGGAAUUCCUAGUGUAGCGGUGAAAUGCAGAUAUUAGGAGGAACACCAGUGGCGAAGGCGACUUACUGGACUGAAACUGACGCUGAGUCACGAAAGCGUGGGGAGCAAACAGGAUUAGAUACCCUAGUAGUCC